CGGAUUUCUCAGCCUCAGCUUUGAGGUCCACCUUCAAGUCCUCCACUAUGCUCUUGCUCUCCAGAUCCCAGAUCUUGAUGCUAUGUUCUGUAGCUGCACAUAGCCAAUACCUGUUAGGACUGAAACACAGAGCAUGGAUGACUGCACCAGCAUCAAGAUUGUAAAGCCUCUUUCCCUCUGCCAAAUCCCAGAGCAAAAUCACUCCAUCUUUCCCACCACUUGCGCACAAAGACCCAUCAGGCGACACAGCAACAGUGUUAACAUAACCAUU
RNAcentral lists this long non-coding RNA (271 nucleotides) under Jatropha curcas. RNAcentral's name for it is "long non-coding RNA (JCUR_LNC001246)". The record is from RNAcentral. Lineage: Eukaryota; Viridiplantae; Streptophyta; Magnoliopsida; Malpighiales; Euphorbiaceae.